CGGGCGACGGUUGUCCCGGUUUAAGCGUGUAGGCUGGUUUUCCAGGCAAAUCCGGAAAAUCAAGGCUGAGGCGUGAUGACGAGGCACUACGGUGCUGAAGCAACAAAUGCCCUGCUUCCAGGAAAAGCCUCUAAGCAUCAGGUAACAUCAAAUCGUACCCCAAACCGACACAGGUGGUCAGGUAGAGAAUACCAAGGCGCUUGAGAGAACUCGGGUGAAGGAACUAGGCAAAAUGGUGCCGUAACUUCGGGAGAAGGCACGCUGAUAUGUAGGUGAAGUCCCUCGCGGAUGGAGCUGAAAUCAGUCGAAGAUACCAGCUGGCUGCAACUGUUUAUUAAAAACACAGCACUGUGCAAACACGAAAGUGGACGUAUACGGUGUGACGCCUGCCCGGUGCCGGAAGGUUAAUUGAUGGGGUCAGCGCAAGCGAAGCUCUUGAUCGAAGCCCCGGUAAACGGCGGCCGUAACUAUAACGGUCCUAAGGUAGCGAAAUUCCUUGUCGGGUAAGUUCCGACCUGCACGAAUGGCGUAAUGAUGGCCAGGCUGUCUCCACCCGAGACUCAGUGAAAUUGAACUCGCUGUGAAGAUGCAGUGUACCCGCGGCAAGACGGAAAGACCCCGUGAACCUUUACUAUAGCUUGACACUGAACAUUGAGCCUUGAUGUGUAGGAUAGGUGGGAGGCUUAGAAGUGUGGACGCCAGUCUGCAUGGAGCCGACCUUGAAAUACCACCCUUUAAUGUUUGAUGUUCUAACGUUGACCCGUAAUCCGGGUUGCGGACAGUGUCUGGUGGGUAGUUUGACUGGGGCGGUCUCCUCCUAAAGAGUAACGGAGGAGCACGAAGGUUGGCUAAUCCUGGUCGGACAUCAGGAGGUUAGUGCAAUGGCAUAAGCCAGCUUGACUGCGAGCGUGACGGCGCGAGCAGGUGCGAAAGCAGGUCAUAGUGAUCCGGUGGUUCUGAAUGGAAGGGCCAUCGCUCAACGGAUAAAAGGUACUCCGGGGAUAACAGGCUGAUACCGCCCAAGAGUUCAUAUCGACGGCGGUGUUUGGCACCUCGAUGUCGGCUCAUCACAUCCUGGGGCUGAAGUAGGUCCCAAGGGUAUGGCUGUUCGCCAUUUAAAGUGGUACGCGAGCUGGGUUUAGAACGUCGUGAGACAGUUCGGUCCCUAUCUGCCGUGGGCGCUGGAGAACUGAGGGGGGCUGCUCCUAGUACGAGAGGACCGGAGUGGACGCAUCACUGGUGUUCGGGUUGUCAUGCCAAUGGCACUGCCCGGUAGCUAAAUGCGGAAGAGAUAAGUGCUGAAAGCAUCUAAGCACGAAACUUGCCCCGAGAUGAGUUCUCCCUGACCCUUUAAGGGUCCUGAAGGAACGUUGAAGACGACGACGUUGAUAGGCCGGGUGUGU
This 1403-nucleotide ribosomal RNA is filed under the name Escherichia coli. RNAcentral's name for it is "partial 23S ribosomal RNA". It matches the Rfam family "Bacterial large subunit ribosomal RNA", at positions 1492 to 2870 of the family's 2925-position model. Lineage: Bacteria; Pseudomonadati; Pseudomonadota; Gammaproteobacteria; Enterobacterales; Enterobacteriaceae. The record is from RNAcentral.